AUGAACUUGGAGCAGGUGUCCAAUGAGGAGAAGUUGAACCUAUGCCGGAAAUAUUACCUGGGUGGGUUUGCUUUCCUGCCUUUUCUCUGGUUGGUUAACAUCUUCUGGUUCUUCCAAGAGGCCUUCCUUGUCCUAGUCUACACAGAGCAGAGCCAAAGCAAAGGCUAUGUCUGGAGUUCAGCUGUGGGCUUCCUCUUCUGGGUCAUUGUGCUCACCACCUGGAUCACCAUCUUCCAGAUCUACAGGCCCCACUGGGGUGCCCUAGGGGACUACCUCUCCUUCACCAUACCCCUGGACACCCCCUGACAACUUCUGCACAGGCUGGGGACCUUCCCAUUCUCCCAGAAUAGGCUCUUUUGCCCUAAGAUUUGUUCCCAUGUCUUAUGUUUUCUGCUGACAUCCCCCAAUAAAGGACUCUAACUUUCAAAAAAAAAAAAAAAA
Propithecus coquereli (Coquerel's sifaka) is the source of this 441-nucleotide RNA transcript. It is a transcript of the gene named gamma-secretase subunit PEN-2 pseudogene, with no coding region annotated. NCBI's taxonomy places the organism in Eukaryota, Metazoa, Chordata, Mammalia, Primates, Indriidae. The transcript has a single exon. The record is from RefSeq and is a predicted model, not a curated record.